Potamilus streckersoni is the source of this 76-nucleotide non-coding RNA. The record is from the annotation of a GenBank genome assembly. Lineage: Eukaryota; Metazoa; Mollusca; Bivalvia; Unionida; Unionidae.
AGCUCCCAGUGGCCUAAGUGGUUAGAGCAUCCACCUUUGAUGUGGGAGGUUGCAGGUUCAAACCCUAGCUGAGUCA